This 60-nucleotide unclassified non-coding RNA is filed under the name synthetic construct. The record is from RNAcentral.
CAUACGGAGAUAACAAAUUGGAAUACGUACGCGCUGUACGGGUCCAGUGUAAAAUGGAGA